ACGAGGAUCCUCCAGGACGCCAACUUGGGAGCGAAGUUGUUUAGUUGUUUCCAACGGACCUUUCCCAAGUCGAUACAGAUGAAUAUAGACCUCCUGUUUGGAAAUCCUACUUGUAUCAGCUGCAACAGGAAGCCCCUC
Molecule: long non-coding RNA, 138 nt
Organism: Fukomys damarensis (Damara mole-rat)
Lineage: Eukaryota; Metazoa; Chordata; Mammalia; Rodentia; Bathyergidae
Exons: 3
Source: RefSeq, a predicted model, not a curated record